UGUGCCAGCAGCCGCGGUAAUACGUAGGUGGCAAGCGUUAUCCGGAAUUAUUGGGCGUAAAGCGCGCGUAGGCGGUUUUUUAAGUCUGAUGUGAAAGCCCACGGCUCAACCGUGGAGGGUCAUUGGAAACUGGAAAACUUGAGUGCAGAAGAGGAAAGUGGAAUUCCAUGUGUAGCGGUGAAAUGCGCAGAGAUAUGGAGGAACACCAGUGGCGAAGGCGACUUUCUGGUCUGUAACUGACGCUGAUGUGCGAAAGCGUGGGGAUCAAACAGGAUUAGAUACCCUGGUAGUCCACGCCGUAAACGAUGAGUGCUAAGUGUUAGGGGGUUUCCGCCCCUUAGUGCUGCAGCUAACGCAUUAAGCACU
RNAcentral lists this ribosomal RNA (366 nucleotides) under uncultured bacterium. RNAcentral's name for it is "bacterial SSU rRNA". It matches the Rfam family "Bacterial small subunit ribosomal RNA", at positions 504 to 868 of the family's 1533-position model. The record is from RNAcentral.